This 253-nucleotide ribosomal RNA is filed under the name uncultured bacterium. RNAcentral's name for it is "partial 16S ribosomal RNA". It matches the Rfam family "Bacterial small subunit ribosomal RNA", at positions 524 to 776 of the family's 1533-position model. The record is from RNAcentral.
UACGUAGGGUGCUAGCGUUGCCCGGAAUCACUGGGCGUAAAGCGCACGUAGGCGGAUUGCUAAGUCAGGGGUGAAAUCCUGGAGCUCAACUCCAGAACUGCCUUUGAUACUGGCGAUCUCGAGUCCGGGAGAGGUGAGUGGAACUGCGAGUGUAGAGGUGAAAUUCGUAGAUAUUCGCAAGAACACCAGUGGCGAAGGCGGCUCACUGGCCCGGUACUGACGCUGAGGUGCGAAAGCGUGGGGAGCAAACAGG